RNAcentral lists this ribosomal RNA (422 nucleotides) under uncultured archaeon. Its description in RNAcentral is "partial 16S ribosomal RNA". It matches the Rfam family "Archaeal small subunit ribosomal RNA", at positions 323 to 746 of the family's 1478-position model. The record is from RNAcentral.
CUACGGGUGGCUGCAGGCGAGAAAACUUUGCAAUGUGCGAAAGCACGACAAGGUUAAUCCGAGUGGUUUCUGCUAAAGGAACCUUUUGACAGUCCUAGAAACACUGUUGAAUAAGGGGUGGGCAAGUUCUGGUGUCAGCCGCCGCGGUAAAACCAGCACCUCAAGUGGUCAGGAUGAUUAUUGGGCCUAAAGCAUCCGUAGCCGGCUCUGUAAGUUUUCGGUUAAAUCUGUACGCUCAACGUACAGGCUGCCGGGAAUACUGCAGAGCUAGGGAGUGGGAGAGGUAGACGGUACUCGGUAGGAAGGGGUAAAAUCCUUUGAUCUAUUGAUGACCACCUGUGGCGAAGGCGGUCUACCAGAACACGUCCGACGGUGAGGGAUGAAAGCUGGGGGAGCAAACCGGAUUAGAUACCCCGGUAGUC